RNAcentral lists this ribosomal RNA (253 nucleotides) under uncultured bacterium. Its description in RNAcentral is "partial 16S ribosomal RNA". It matches the Rfam family "Bacterial small subunit ribosomal RNA", at positions 524 to 776 of the family's 1533-position model. The record is from RNAcentral.
UACGUAGGGGGCUAGCGUUGCUCGGAAUUACUGGGCGUAAAGGGCGCGUAGGCGGCACUGUUAGUCAGGUGUGAAAGUCCUGGGCUCAACCUGGGAACUGCGCUUGAUACGGCAGAGCUAGAGGAUGGAAGAGGCUCGCGGAAUUCCCAGUGUAGAGGUGAAAUUCGUAGAUAUUGGGAGGAACACCGAUGGCGAAGGCGGCGAGCUGGUCCAUUACUGACGCUGAGGCGCGACAGCGUGGGGAGCAAACAGG